CACCAUGGAUAGAUUGCACGCCCAACAUGCUCAGCAAACCAAUCCUUGUUCCAACCUUCUUCCAUCGGCAAACUCGAACGAAGAACACCGCCAGCUCGCAUUCGAAUGCACCAUCUUCAUCCUCGCCGAAAUCUAACCCCAACUCCGCACGCGCAAAUCGAUACGCGACCAAUCGAAGGAUUCAAAGAAUUGAUACCUCCAUUGACGAACAGGAACACAAUUGCAAUGGAGAAUUCCGACGCAGACUGCAAAGAUUUGGAGGAACAAGUACCUACCGUGUAUUGCGCUGACGUUGAAGAUGAAUAUUAUCUUUUCGCGUCUUGCUUCGAUUCUUGUGGUGAAAUUUGUGCAUUUCCAUUUGCGUGAAUCGCGGCGUGGAUUCUGUUGAUGCAGAACCAAAAUUCUUUGAUGCAGAAUGAUGCAGAGUUAUCCAAAAAUGAUGCAGAAUCGAGAACGAAGAAAUUUGCCCAAGCAGAGUGAAGGGUGCAGAGUGAAUCGCAGAAUGAAAGAGAGUUUUCUGAGAUUAUGACUGCAUGAAGGCCCCACCAAAGAUGGCUUUCCCUUGCAAGAACAAUUGGAUAUUGUAUGGAAUGCAUGGAGAUGGGAGGACGAUGAAUCAUUUAAGUUGAAUUAGAUAGUGUUGACCUUGGUCUAACCACAAAAAUCUUCAAUUUUGUAAAUAUGUUAUGAAUAAUGUGAAUCUUCAAUUUUUAUAAAUAUGUUAUGAACAAUGUGAAUCUUUGAUUUUUAUAAAUAUGUUACGAACAAUGUGAAUGGAAA
Long non-coding RNA from Lathyrus oleraceus (garden pea), 780 nucleotides. RefSeq lists it as uncharacterized. NCBI's taxonomy places the organism in Eukaryota, Viridiplantae, Streptophyta, Magnoliopsida, Fabales, Fabaceae. The record is from RefSeq and is a predicted model, not a curated record. The transcript has 3 exons.